GAUGAACGCUGGCGGCGUGCCUAAUACAUGCAAGUCGAGCGAACGGACGAGAAGCUUGCUUCUCUGAUGUUAGCGGCGGACGGGUGAGUAACACGUGGAUAACCUACCUAUAAGACUGGGAUAACUUCGGGAAACCGGAGCUAAUACCGGAUAAUAUUUUGAACCGCAUGGUUCAAAAGUGAAAGACGGUCUUGCUGUCACUUAUAGAUGGAUCCGCGCUGCAUUAGCUAGUUGGUAAGGUAACGGCUUACCAAGGCAACGAUGCAUAGCCGACCUGAGAGGGUGAUCGGCCACACUGGAACUGAGACACGGUCCAGACUCCUACGGGAGGCAGCAGUAGGGAAUCUUCCGCAAUGGGCGAAAGCCUGACGGAGCAACGCCGCGUGAGUGAUGAAGGUCUUCGGAUCGUAAAACUCUGUUAUCAGGGAAGAACAUAUAUGUAAGUAACUGUGCACCUCUUGACGGUACCUAAUCAGAAAGCCAUGGCUAACUACGUGCCAGCAGCCGCGGUUAUACGUAGGUGGCAAGCGUUUUCCGGGAUUAUUGGGCGUAAAGCGCGCGUACGCGGUUUUUUAGUCUGAUGUGAAAGCCCACGGCUCAACCGUGGAGGGUCAUUGGAAACUGGAAAACUUGAGUGCAGAAGAGGAGAGUGGAAUUCCAUGUGUAGCGGUGAAAUGCGCAGAGAUAUGGAGGAACACCAGUGGCGAAGGCGACUUUCUGGUCUGUAACUGACGCUGAUGUGCGAAAGCGUGGGGAUCAAACAGGAUUAGAUACCCUGGUAGUCCACGCCGUAAACGAUGAGUGCUAAGUGUUAGGGGGUUUCCGCCCCUUAGUGCUGCAGCUAACGCAUUAAGCACUCCGCCUGGGGAGUACGACCGCAAGGUUGAAACUCAAAGGAAUUGACGGGGACCCGCACAAGCGGUGGAGCAUGUGGUUUAAUUCGAAGCAACGCGAAGAACCUUACCAAAUCUUGACAUCCUUUGACAACUCUAGAGAUAGAGCUUUCCCCUUCGGGGGACAAAGUGACAGGUGGUGCAUGGUUGUCGUCAGCUCGUGUCGUGAGAUGUUGGGUUAAGUCCCGCAACGAGCGCAACCCUUAAGCUUAGUUGCCAUCAUUAAGUUGGGCACUCUAAGUUGACUGCCGGUGACAAACCGGAGGAAGGUGGGGAUGACGUCAAAUCAUCAUGCCCCUUAUGAUUUGGGCUACACACGUGCUACAAUGGACAAUACAAAGGGCAGCGAAACCGCGAGGUCAAGCAAAUCCCAUAAAGUUGUUCUCAGUUCGGAUUGUAGUCUGCAACUCGACUACAUGAAGCUGGAAUCGCUAGUAAUCGUAGAUCAGCAUGCUACGGUGAAUACGUUCCCGGGUCU
Molecule: ribosomal RNA, 1371 nt
Filed under: uncultured bacterium
Lineage: Bacteria
Description: bacterial SSU rRNA
Rfam family: Bacterial small subunit ribosomal RNA
Source: RNAcentral